GGGGCCGUAGUCCAACGGCAGGAGACGGCAGCUUUAGGUGCUGUACAGUGCGGGUUCGAAUCCCGCCGGCCCCA
Transfer RNA from Nocardiopsis sp. JB363, 74 nucleotides. It matches the Rfam family "tRNA". Rfam says of the family: Transfer RNA (tRNA) molecules are approximately 80 nucleotides in length. Their secondary structure includes four short double-helical elements and three loops (D, anti-codon, and T loops). Further hydrogen bonds mediate the characteristic L-shaped molecular structure. tRNAs have two regions of fundamental functional importance: the anti-codon, which is responsible for specific mRNA codon recognition, and the 3' end, to which the tRNAs corresponding amino acid is attached (by aminoacyl-tRNA synthetases). tRNAs cope with the degeneracy of the genetic code in two manners: having more than one tRNA (with a specific anti-codon) for a particular amino acid; and 'wobble' base-pairing, i.e. permitting non-standard base-pairing at the 3rd anti-codon position. Lineage: Bacteria; Bacillati; Actinomycetota; Actinomycetes; Streptosporangiales; Nocardiopsidaceae. The record is from Rfam.